GCCUACGGGACGCAGCAGUCGGGAAUAUUGCGCAAUGGAGGAAACUCUGACGCAGUGACGCCGCGUGCAGGAAGAAGGUUUUCGGAUUGUAAACUGCUUUAGAUAGGGAAGAAAAAAAUGACAGUACCUAUAGAAUAAGCUCCGGCUAACUACGUGCCAGCAGCCGCGGUAAUACGUAGGGAGCGAGCGUUAUCCGGAUUUAUUGGGUUUAAAGGGUGCGUAGGCGGAAUAUCAAGUCAGCGGUAAAAAUUCGGGGCUCAACCCCGUCGUGCCGUUGAAACUGAUGUUCUUGAGUGGGCGAGAAG
RNAcentral lists this ribosomal RNA (305 nucleotides) under uncultured bacterium. RNAcentral's name for it is "bacterial SSU rRNA". It matches the Rfam family "Bacterial small subunit ribosomal RNA", at positions 337 to 657 of the family's 1533-position model. The record is from RNAcentral.